CACAGUGUAGCUUAACACAAAAGCAUCUGGCCUACACCCAGAAGAAUUCAUAACAUAUGAACACUUUGA
This 69-nucleotide transfer RNA is filed under the name Dephomys defua (Defua Dephomys). Its description in RNAcentral is "partial tRNA-Val". Lineage: Eukaryota; Metazoa; Chordata; Mammalia; Rodentia; Muridae. The record is from RNAcentral.